AGGGUAUGAAAUGUGCAUAAUACCAAUCUCCCUUUCUCCUAGGAGAAAUCAUGUGGUCUCUUGCAGCAGUUAAGAGUUGCUGGCAAACUUCCUAGGUUUGAAUCUAGGCUCCACGUAAUAGCUCUGUGAUCCUGAGAUGCCUUCUUCCUUUCCCCGCUGCCCCCCAGGCCCACUCUGGUGGAGUGGAAAAGUCCAAUGCUUUGAUACCAGGUCAUGGAGAAUAUCUUUGAUUUUCCCUGCAGCUGCAUCGGAAGUCACCAGCUUUGGAGAAGCCAUGGAAAGAUCCACCCCAGAAGAAAAAGUCUAUUGAUGAAUCAUUUAAAAAUGAAUAAACAGAAGUCCCCUACACAGCCCAUCAA
This is a long non-coding RNA of Cebus imitator (Panamanian white-faced capuchin), 359 nucleotides long. RefSeq lists it as uncharacterized. Lineage: Eukaryota; Metazoa; Chordata; Mammalia; Primates; Cebidae. The record is from RefSeq and is a predicted model, not a curated record. The transcript has 3 exons.